Non-coding RNA from Cyanistes caeruleus (blue tit), 213 nucleotides. NCBI's taxonomy places the organism in Eukaryota, Metazoa, Chordata, Aves, Passeriformes, Paridae. The record is from RefSeq and is a predicted model, not a curated record.
UUGAAUAUGUGGCAGAGAAAAGUUCUACCUGUCCAAGGAGCAGGGAACAAGAACAUGCUGUGUCUUCUCUGUGGCUCCUUUUUCACUAAAGGGCCUUCCUGGUUCUAAGGCAGAAAUGUCAUGAAGAGAUAGAGUCACUGCCAGUCCCUGGGCAUGCUGAUGGCUGACUCUGAGUUCACCCUGGAAUCUCUGCUUGGGUAAAGUGUGACUUGA